Molecule: long non-coding RNA, 3260 nt
Organism: Magallana angulata
Lineage: Eukaryota; Metazoa; Mollusca; Bivalvia; Ostreida; Ostreidae
Exons: 5
Source: RefSeq, a predicted model, not a curated record
UAUUGCUAAAUCAAUAUUAUUCAUGUCCUAAGAUGGGCCGUCGAAUCACUGCAUGAUGGAGCGUUAUUGUGCACAUAAUAAGUUAGAUUUACAUGUUUGUGUAUGACUGACAUCACUUUAAUCUCAUACAGUAUCUGCAACCGGUUAGAUUUAGAAUUAAAAAAUGAGAUGCAUCAUAUUGUCAUCGUCAAAAUUUGAUGAAAAUAAUACAAACAGAAAAUGGUGAGAAAUUAGCAUAAAACUGAAUCUGCUUGAAACAAUCGGUACAAAUCCAAUACACUACAAUAACAAAGCUAUCUCACAAAACAGUUUGUGUUAAAUCAAAACACCGAGAUUUGAUGAGCGAUAAAAAAAUCUUUUUCAUAUUCUACAAAAGUCUUAAAGUUAAAUCGAAUCUCGCACAAAUAGUUUGUCUUAUAUUCUUUCAGAACCACUGAAUAAAACUCAGAGAGAUAACAAGAAAAACCCAGAACCACUGAAUGAAACUCAGAGAGAUAACAAGAAAAACCCAGGCAUGGUUUCUGAUUUCAUCAAAAGCAUAACAAGCAGAACAAGCAUUGAAAGCUAUUUAAAGUACAAAAAAGAUAAGGGACACUCUGAUCAUGGCUGUGAAACAUAUAUGAUUCAUGAAGAUGCAUGAUCGCCACGUAGGAGUGUGGUUUAUAUGUCUCUGACUAAAGUAGACUUUAAUAAUCUUUAUAUUAUCUUAUUAUCUACUUGUCAUUGUGUGUAAACUUGACCACCUAAGAAUAUUGUUCAACUAUGUGCCAAAUCUCAUAACUAUUAUGUUUUUGUAAUGCAGGUGUAGUUAACAAAUAUAACAAAUUAGUUUUUUUUUUAAAUUAUCUGUCUUAUCUCUUUGAUAUUGAUAUGCAGUAUAGAGAUAUAUUGCAACAUGUAGUUAAAUGACCCUAAAACAUUUAACUACAUAUAAUCAUUCACAAAUGUGGCAGGUAUCGAACUCAAAAAGAUAUUGGUACCAGACGCCAUUAGGUCGGUGAUUAAUUUGUAGUCAUGUUUUUCUGCAAAAUAAACUUUAUAUGAUAAUUCAUUAUAAAUUUAUGACUACUUAUAACUCUGUGUCUGUGAUAACACUACGAAUUAAUUGUGCAACGUAUUGUCCAAUACAUUUUAUAAAUGACUAAUUUAAUAUUUAAUCGCACAAGUGCGGAACAUUACAUAAGUAUAAGUAAUGAGGAGUCAUAAUGUGAAUGCUAUGAAUUUAUCGACGUGAUCAAAUCAUUAAGCCCUUUUGGCUUUAUUUAAUAUCAUCACCAAUAAAUGAUUCCUUAUUUCUUAAAUACAACUGAUAAGUGUACUGUGUAGUAGUGAUGGUGUUGGGUUUUUUUAUUUUACACAAAUAUAUUUUGAUCCCCUUUUUGAGACAUUGAAACACGUUUAACAAUUAAAACACGAUAUAGGUUCUAAUAUCAAGAUCAUUCUUGAUGAAACGCAGUCUGGAGAGCUAGACUGUUAGUGGGCGUGAAUUGCUGCUUUAAACAUAAGUAGGAUAAAUUUGAUUGUCAUAAUAAUUAGUAUUUAUACAAAAAUAAAUUACGUUAUGUUUAUUUUUUCAUCAUAUACUUUUUGAGAUUUUUUUUUAAACUUCCGUUUUUUAAGCUUGGCAUGUUUUAGUGUAUCUUAAAAUAUAAAAACAUGCAUAAAGCGUAUCUUAUAUGUUUAAAUUAAGCAUUUAUUUAUUGUCUUUCGUUGUUACAUUGCAUGAUUAACUAAAUCAUAUACAUUUUUUAUGCAUAAAAUAUGUAAAAUGUACAUGUACAUAUGCAUGUAUGCAUAUUCCAUUGCUUGCUCUCUUUGGCAUACGAAACAGUUUUCUUUGCUGAUUCAACUGUAGACUCUAUCCAAAUUUUAAAAUUUCACUGUGUGUUUUUACAUAUAUAAUGUUAUUUAAGUUUUGUACUUGAGUUUUUGUUUUGUGUUUUGUGUUGUUUUUAUCAAUAAGUAAUGUUGCAAGAUGUAGCAAUGGUAUGAGUAUUUUAUAUCUUAAUUUAUGCUUUUAGAUUUUUUUUCUUUACCAAAAAAAAAAAAUACAAUGUUAUCUGAUGAUUUUUUUGUUUUAUUGUCUUUAUCAUGUUCAGGCUAGUUAUUAGUUGCAGGGUAUAUUUCCGUGUUUGAGAAACCUAAACGAAAGUAAUUUUCAUAAUAUUUGAAACAAAAACAAAUAUCAUUUUUAUUAUCUCUGUUUUUUUUUGGUUUUUUUUACUUUUUGUGCAUGUAAAUAAGUAGCCUUGUGUUUUUGUUACCGGUGGUGACGUCUAAAAGAAAAUCUUUUUGUUCAUUUUUAUUUAGGUGUUGUAUCACAAUGUAAGUAUUAUACCUCUUGCAACACUUAAAAAAGCUCCAAUUUUAUUUGACAAUUUCCAUUCACUAUCCCUUUAUGGUCAUUUUUUGUAAGAAGGAUAACUUUGUUGAAUAAUGUUGGCCACCAAAAAAGUUAAAAUUAUCUUUGUUGUGUUGAUAUCAUUUUAUUGUUACCCUUAAAUGCAUGGUUUAGGUCGGCGUUGGCGUUGGUGUUGUCGUAAACUUUUCACACUGUCAUCUUCUUCUCAAAAACCACUGGGAAGAUUUCAACCAAACUAAAGCAUCACUAGGUGAAGGGGAUUCAAUUUUGUUCAAAUGAAGGGCCACACCCUUUUUCAAAGGGAGAUAAUUAAUAUAUAUUCAGAAUUUGUUGGUAUUUUUCAAAAAUCUUCUUCUCAAAAACUAUAACGCUAGAUAAGCUGUAACUUGUACUGAAGCAUCCUCAGGUAGUGUAGAUUCACGUUUAAAUCAUGGUCCCCAGGGGAAGGGUGGGGCCACUAUGGGGGAAUGUAUUUUAACAUAAGAAUGUAUAGUGAAAAUCUUUAAAAACUUCUUCUCAAAAACUAUUUGGCCAAAAAAAAGCUUAAACUUGUGUGGAGGCAUCCUCAGGUUGUGUAGAUCUAGGUUUCUUCAAAUCAUGAUCCCAGGGAGAAGGGUGGGGCAAAAAUUGGGGGUUAAAUUUUAACAUAGGAAUAUAAAGAGAAAAGCUUUAAAAAUUUUCUUCUCAAAAACUAUUUGGCCAGAAAAGCUCAGAUUAAAGUGGAAGCAUCCUCAGAUAGUGUAGAUUCACGUUUGUACAAAUCAUGGUCCCAAGGGGAAGGGUGGGGCUACAAUGGGGGCUCACAUUUUUACAUAGGAAUAUUUAGAGAAAAUCUUUAAAAAUCUUCUUCUCAAAUACUAUUUGGACAGAAAAAGCUCAAAUUGAGUGGAGAAAUCCU